This is a long non-coding RNA of Olea europaea var. sylvestris, 829 nucleotides long. RefSeq lists it as uncharacterized. NCBI's taxonomy places the organism in Eukaryota, Viridiplantae, Streptophyta, Magnoliopsida, Lamiales, Oleaceae. The record is from RefSeq and is a predicted model, not a curated record. The transcript is spliced from 2 exons.
CAUAGGCUUCGGCUGAUGAGUGAAAUAUCUAUCAACACACUCAAUUAAUUGGCUUAACCUGAAAACAACUUGAGGAUCAUUGAAAGCAACUUAAUUUAAUUAAUGUUGCUCACGACCCAUUUACUUCUUGAAUGUCUCUCUUUUGUGUUCCGGCCCUUUACCAUGUGUUGGUCCAUGAGCCCACUAUAUUAGCCCAUUACUAUUACACCCUAAAAAUAUAUUGGCCUCAUUGCUUGAAGAAGCUCUGUGUGUGUGCAAUUGUGAGAAAAGGCCGCCAACUUUUAUUGUGUUCUCUCUCUUGGAGUUGAAACUUAUCUUCCUCUCUUCUUGGUUACUUAUUGCAGCCACCCUAUUGUGAUCAUUGUGAAUACAUUGAGUUGAGCAACCGAAGUAAAAAUAGUUGUGGAUUGGAGCCAUUACUUGGGUGUGUUUGAUAAGGUUGGGAUUGGUAUGCUGUACUCGAAUUCCACGAAUUGAAGAUCUAUUCCGCUACACUUGACAUCUUUGUUUUCCAUCAUCAUCCAGUAGUUUACAACUCCUCUACAGGAAAAUUCUAACACGUGAAUUUGUGAUUAUGGAAUGACAUCUAAUCCUGAUUAACUGAUUCGAUCCCAAAGAUUGGAAUGGAAGAAGCAGAUUCCGGGUAAUAUCUUUAUGCAUCAGUUUGAAGGUGGCUACAUGGCAUCAACACUGGAUUAGGUUUGAACCAACACAUCUUCUGUGCUUUAGAGGAUAAAUAAACAAAUUUGCGCUAUGUAUUCGAUCAUGAGGUUUGAAUCAACACAAAUUUGAAUCAACUCCAAUGCUAGUUGGUUGUGGAUAUUUAAUA